UCGUCAGCUCGUGUCGUGAGAUGUUGGGUUAAGUCCCGCAACGAGCGCAACCCUUGCCUUUAGUUGCCAGCAUUAAGUUGGGCACUCUAGAGGGACUGCCAGGGAUAACCUGGAGGAAGGUGGGGAUGACGUCAAAUCAUCAUGCCCCUUAUGUUUAGGGCUACACACGUGCUACAAUGGGUGGUACAGAGGGCAGCCAAGUCGUGAGGCGGAGCUAAUCCCUUAAAGCCAUUCUCAGUUCGGAUUGUAGGCUGAAACUCGCCUACAUGAAGCUGGAGUUACUAGUAAUCGCAGAUCAGAAUGCUGCGGUGAAUGCGUUCCCGGGUCUUGUACACACCGCCCGUCACACCACGGAAGUUGGGGGCGCCCGAAGCCGGAUUGCUAACCUUUUGGAAGCGUCCGUCGAAGGUGAAAUCAAUAACUGGGGUGAAGUCGUAACAAGGUAACCGUA
This 451-nucleotide ribosomal RNA is filed under the name uncultured bacterium. RNAcentral's name for it is "bacterial SSU rRNA". It matches the Rfam family "Bacterial small subunit ribosomal RNA", at positions 1052 to 1504 of the family's 1533-position model. The record is from RNAcentral.